This 501-nucleotide ribosomal RNA is filed under the name uncultured bacterium. RNAcentral describes it as "partial 16S ribosomal RNA". It matches the Rfam family "Bacterial small subunit ribosomal RNA", at positions 30 to 523 of the family's 1533-position model. The record is from RNAcentral.
AUUGAACGCUGGCGGCAGGCUUAACACAUGCAAGUCGAGCGGAGAUGAGGUGCUUGCACCUUAUCUUAGCGGCGGACGGGUGAGUAAUGCUUAGGAAUCUGCCUAUUAGUGGGGUACAACCUUCCGAAAGGAAUGCUAAUACCGCCUACGUCCUACGGGAGAAAGCAGAGGAUCUUCGGACCUUGCGCUAAUAGAUGAGCCUAAGUCGGAUGAGCUAGUUGGUGGGGUAAAGGCCUACCAAGGCGACGAUCUGUAGCGGGUCUGAGAGGAUGAUCCGCCACACUGGGACUGAGACACGGCCCAGACUCCUACGGGAGGCAGCAGUGGGGAAUAUUGGACAAUGGGGGGAACCCUGAUCCAGCCAUGCCGCGUGUGUGAAGAAGGCCUUAUGGUUGUAAAGCACUUUAAGCGAGGAGGAGGCUACUGAGACUAAUACUCUUGGAUAGUGGACGUUACUCGCAGAAUAAGCACCGGCUAACUCUGUGCCAGCCGCCGCGGUAA